UCCACGAGAGGCGACGUUUUUUUUAUUAACCGAGUACAUAAAAUUUUACAAUGUAGAGUAUAUAUAAGUAUUACUUCUAUUUCAACCCUAAUUGUGAAGGGGAUUUGGUCCGGUAGGGACAAGUUGAUGGGAUACGGUGUGCAGUCGGUGAUGAGGAAUAUUGGGGACGUUGAAGUAGAUGGAGAAAUACUUGAUUCUCAAUCUUUCCUGGUGUGUGGGAUGAUGAUG
RNAcentral lists this long non-coding RNA (228 nucleotides) under Panax ginseng (ginseng). RNAcentral describes it as "long non-coding RNA (PGIN_LNC018853)". The record is from RNAcentral. Lineage: Eukaryota; Viridiplantae; Streptophyta; Magnoliopsida; Apiales; Araliaceae.